Amphiprion ocellaris (clown anemonefish) is the source of this 741-nucleotide long non-coding RNA. The record is from Ensembl. NCBI's taxonomy places the organism in Eukaryota, Metazoa, Chordata, Actinopteri, Pomacentridae.
CGACAUUCUUCUGCUGAUCCGUCGCUGCUUCAGGCGUCUCAGAGAAUCAAAGUCCUCUUUAACCCCCCUCCAGACUCCUCUGUAACUCCUCUAAACUCCUCCUAGCUCCUCCUCUCUUCCAAAGGUCCGAAGACGACCAGAAGAAGAUGGACGAUGACAAGAAGCAGCAGAAAAGCUCCCGGGAAGUUUACUUCAGUGUCCUGCCAGAUAAAUACGAACCUCUAGAGGAGGAGGACGAGGAGGACGAGGAGAGGAAGAGGAGGAAGGAGGAGAAGAAGGAGAGGAAGAAGAAGAAGCACAAGAAGUACAGGAAGAAUGUGAGGAAGGCUCUGGGCUUCAGCUGGAGGUGUUUCCUGUUUUAUUGUGAAGGUGUGUUCUUCUAUGGUAGAAUGUGAGGAAGGCUCUGACCUUCAGCUGGAGGUGUUUCCUGGUUGGUCUCCAGUCAAUGGCCGCCGGAUUCAGCGGAGCGAUGGCUGGAUACUCCAUGACGAUCGUGAUUCCCACGGCGACGGAGGAGCGACGAGCCAGAAGGGAACUAUGAUGGGAUGGGAUCCACUUUGUUUGUUUGUUUGUUUGUUUACUUAUUUUAUUCUGCUUUGAUGCUGAAAGUUUCAAACUGUUUACCUGGUACUUCCUGUUUUUACUGUCCAAUAAAAUAAAAACAAACUGCUUCCAUGGUUGGUUCUUUAUGUCCUGAUAUGGUCAGGAGGCGGAGUCAAACUGUCCUUAUAUGGUCAGAUA